GCGAGUGAAGUGGGAAGAGCUCAAAUUUGUAAUCUGGCACUUUCAGUGUCCGAGUUGUAAUCUCGAGAAGUGUUUUCCGCGCCGGACCGCAUACAAGUCUGUUGGAAUACAGCGUCAUAGUGGUGAGAACCCCGUAACUGAUGCGGAUGCCCGGUGCUUUGUGAUACACUUUCGAAGAGUCGAGUUGUUUGGGAAUGCAGCUCAAAUUGGGUGGUAAAUUCCAUCUAAAGCUAAAUAUUGGCGAGAGACCGAUAGCGAACAAGUACCGUGAGGGAAAGAUGAAAAGCACUUUGGAAAGAGAGUUAACAGUACGUGAAAUUGUUGGAAGGGAAACGCUUGAAGUCAGACUUGCUAUUUGGAGUUCAACCCAUGGUGUAUUCUUCAAUUUGCAGGCCAGCAUCAGUUUCUGGGGGUGGAAAAUCGUAGUUUGAAUGUAGCAGUUUCGGCUGUGUUAUAGCUUUCUACUGGAUUCAUCUUCGGGGACUGAGGAACGCAGUGCGCUUUUAGCAAGGCUCUCGAGCUUUACGCACUUAGGAUGCUGGUGGAAUGGCUUUAAACGACCCGU
Molecule: ribosomal RNA, 565 nt
Filed under: Sampaiozyma vanillica
Lineage: Eukaryota; Fungi; Basidiomycota; Microbotryomycetes; Chrysozymaceae
Description: partial large subunit ribosomal RNA
Rfam family: Eukaryotic large subunit ribosomal RNA
Source: RNAcentral